CUGCGCUGCCGGCCGGGCUCUGCGGGCUCGGGCCUGCUCGGGGCCGGGAUGUACCGCUGCAGGGCGGCUCCCGGGCCCUCUCCCGUGGCACGGUAACGGGACCCGGCCUUCUUUUUCCUGGCUCUGGUCACAGCUUCCUCUCGGGCAUCCAGCUGCUCCGGCGGGGCUCCUCCGCGGGCUGCAGGUAAGAGAGGCGCUGCCACAAUUUCUGAUGGGCUCGGCCUUGGGCAGCGUCGGCUCGGUCCUGCAGCCGGCCGGGAUCGGCUCCGUGGGACAAGGAGGACGCCUCUGGCAAUUUCCCACAGCAGCCCCCCUGCUACCAAAACCUGGCCAUGCAAACCCAAUCCGUCUCUCUUACAAAAGUAAUUCAAAUGAAAUUAUAAAAUAAAUACAGACACUGCCUCUGAAGUUCCAUUACUAACAGAAGAUCGAUUAAUAAUGCAAUUACUCUAAUACUGUGAGUGUUUUGUAUCCCUUGCAUUUCAGGUGACUUAAAAAUAGGGCAUUACAACACUGAUCGUGCUACAUAAACAUUUAUCAAAGAAAUGCCAGAAUAAAGGAGCUGCCUAUUUCUAUGCAAGCUUUAGUCAACAUAAAUUAGGAAAGUAUCAUAACAGAUUUUUUCUUAUGCUAUGAAAAAUACUUCUGUCAUUGUCAUCGCUGUAUUGUGUAACCCUUAAGAAAUCUAUUUUGACUUUUUUCUGUUUCCAUAUACCUAUUUCAGCUACAUUAUAUAGAUUGGUGUUUUCAAAAUAGAUUAAUAUGCAAGUAUUAAUACCUUAAUUAGAGACUGGGUUGUUUGGCUAUCUGAAUCAGAGAAAAUUACACAGAAGUUAACAAGACUAGGUACAAAAAAGAUACUUGAAAAUUCUGAAAAUUUAAGAGUAGCAGCUAAAAGCAUGGAAGUAAAUGCAGGCCUGGCAGUUCCAUUGACACUUGCCCAGUGUGAGUUCCAAGUUUGACUUAGCUGAUAUCAAACAUCUAAGGAGAAUAAAUUAAAUAGUGCAGCCUUUUGGCAAAUCACAUACAAAAGCAAAUUGGAAAGAAGAUCCAAAUAAUAUAGCCUACUCUUGUCUUGUGCACUUAUGUGUAUCCUAAGCAGCGUGUCUCUGAAAUGUAAAGCUCAGUCUUGGGAGGGAGGGUGCAAUCCUAAAGGAGGCACAGUGCAGUCUGCUCAAGCUCAGUGCCUUAGGAAUUUUGCAGGAAGACUGGUGCCUCUAGAGACCUGCAGAGGGAGAUGUGUUCCUCCAAAAUGAGGGGUUUGUAACUGUCUCCUUACUGUGUAAGAAAUUUCACAGAAAGUUGUCUAGGGUUAUAAAAUUAUGCACACAAAAUUCCUAGAAAGAAUGAACUUUUCUUUUUAGUUCUCAGUGGUAUACAGAGAUAUGAACUAAAAUUAAAUGCUCUUCGUACUCAUUCUAUCUCUAAUCCCUAAAAGACUCCAGUGUAUUUUGCUCAUCUGAGCCAGGGGCAAGCAGAAUGUAUUUCCUUUAACCCUUCACCUGUUCUUUGCUAAAAUGCUGAUACUUCAAUUCUUUUCAUUAAAAAACAC
Molecule: non-coding RNA, 1552 nt
Organism: Taeniopygia guttata (zebra finch)
Lineage: Eukaryota; Metazoa; Chordata; Aves; Passeriformes; Estrildidae
Source: RefSeq, a predicted model, not a curated record